UAAAAGAGAUUGGUUAAAAAAAUGACUAAUCUCGUUGGUUGAGGCAAUAUUGGUCAAAUUAACUGUGACAUUGGUAACUAUUAAACAAACAAAUUGGUUAUCUAACAACUAAUAUCAUUGGUUAAGAACAAAUUGGUUGAUUUAACAAAGAUAUUGGUUAACUUUAAUAACAGAUUGGUUGAAAAAUGACUAAUAUCAUUGGUUAAGCAAAUGUUAACUAAGAGAUUGGUAACUGACGCAGGUCUGACGCUCAACGUCAAGUACGUAACUCUGCUUCUCAAUUUUCUGACAAAGCCGCCAUCUUGGUGCUGCAGGAAAGCCGUUUGAGAUAUUGGUGAAAUUCAAACACUUUGUGAGAUGACAGAAUAUUGCUGAAGGAUCCUACAUGGAAGCUGGCUGAUUACACGGAGUGAUUCCUCUGGUGUGGUGUACCUCAGAGAAAUAAACACUGUUGCAAGAGCUGAGAAGAUGGCCAAGAUAUCCUUAUUGCUGGAUGGUAGCUCUGGUCGUAGUGGACCAUAUCUGC
This is a long non-coding RNA of Engraulis encrasicolus (European anchovy), 526 nucleotides long. RefSeq lists it as uncharacterized. Lineage: Eukaryota; Metazoa; Chordata; Actinopteri; Clupeiformes; Engraulidae. The record is from RefSeq and is a predicted model, not a curated record. The transcript is spliced from 3 exons.